UUUGGUUGGUGUAGGUGUUUUUUAUGGAUGUACCUGGUUGCGAUGAAGCUAAACAAGAAAUAAUUCUAUCACUUAUUACCUUUGUCCUUCAAAUUUGAGUAUAGGCCUGCGAAAUAAUGAAUAUUUGUGUCUCAUUGCUCCAGCAUGGUCAAUAAAGAUAUGUUGACCCAGGAAAUGUGGGUUUAUCAUAGGUCCUACUGUAUACGUUGAUAUAUGAAAUAUGAUAUUUACGGUUAUAUGCUAUCACUUAUUGCCUUUGUCCUUUGCAUUGAGUAUAGGCCUGUGAAAUAAUGGUGUAUUUGUGUGUUGAUUCGUCUGUUUUCCUUCAUGUUCUGGUUCUAAGGUACCAGGACAGACCCAGAGUUAUUUGUAAAAAAAUGCGUUCCAAUGUACCAAUAUUUUGUAUCCUUUCUAAUGCUUAAAAAAGAGGCGAAUAAUUCUUUUAUAAUAUGUAAUAUAUGACAUGUGUAACACACCUUAAGAGACUACUAAGUUAUCCUGUAUAAUUGGCACGCCCUACUUUUGUAGUAAUAAAUAUAUCAGGUGCUGCUCCAUACAGGUGAUACAUUGCAUUUACCAUAGUAUUUGAUUACAUAUGAUAACAUAAAAUCUGUUUUUUCCUUAGCGGUUCGGCACAUUAGUACAUAGAAACAGCGUACAGGCAAAUUGAUUAGAUGCAUUAGUUAAGAACACUGAUUUUUUUGGAAAGCUUCAUCAUGACAUCGAUAUUGGUUUCGCCUUACUACCACUCAGAGGUUGGAUGGAGCAUCGAGGAUUUCAGGCUUGGGGUGGCCACGUGUUGCAGGAUAGCAGGAAGAGUUGGAUGUGUUCUGCAGAGACGAGGUGAUCAAUGUCGUUGCCGCCAGGUAGCUGAAGUACAAAACUUCUAAAUUUCCUCAUUUAUUUAUCCUCAUAGUUGGUUCCCUUGAUACUUUUUCUUAGAAACAUGAUCAAAGAUACAAAAAGUUUUACUUCUCAAGCAGAAGUGGCAGUAUAGUGUGCAUGUCGUAUUGCAAGUAGAUUUUAUAGAUACCAAUAGAAAUAAUAACUUGGGAUUUAUUUCUGUUCAACCUCUGUGAUCUAGAUGAGCAAAGCAACAACUUUGGCUUUAUUUCUUUGUGAUGUAGAUGAGAAAAAUAGUACCUUGGAUUUUAAUUCUAUUCUCUAUGAUGUAGAUUAGCAAGAUUUCUAACCAACAAAGUAAUUUAUUUUAGUAUGGUUUUGUCACUAUGAUUGGUAAUAUGAAGUUUAUUUAUUCUAGGUUCCUAUCUUUAGACAGUCACAUCCACGUUCGUACUUUUAGAAUAGUUGUUGCAACGGGGAAGAGCAUUUUUGCAAUAGCAAGAUAUCAGGACCCAAUGGGCAUAGGCCGAACCAACCACCAUCACUAUUGCUUCAGGAUUAGAUAGCCAACUUCCACUCACGAGGUGAGUUUGCUUACUCUACUUUCAGUGUACUGUGCAGAUAUGUUGGUUAGAAAUUUUGCUAUGUGUCUGUCAAGUUGAUUAGAUACGAAAAAUAUGCUCUAUAAUACCCACAUAAUACUUGUUUAAAUUGGCUUUUCCCUGGUUCAUCAGUGCACACAUGAAACCGGUAAUAAGAAGAGAAUCACCUGAUUUUUUAUAGUCUAUUUUAGUAAGCAUGUUCAUAAUAUUAGGAUAGUUUAAUUUGAGAACAAUCGGCUGGAGGAACGAUGUAAUUUGAUACUCUGUUAUGUUGAUCUCCAGAGAAAUUUGGUUUUUGGUUUUUCAUUGAUGUACGUUAAUCUGUUGUGAAUCUUGUUUGCUUGCACCAAUUAUAUGUGUAACAAUUAGAGGGGAACUUUUGGAACUCAUACAUUCUAUUUCAGUUAAUGUUCAAAGCAACUUUCCUGUGUGAAUCUGAUAAUCUUACUGAAACCUGUGUUUCAUUGUGUAUAUUCAGCCUCUCGAGUCAAGUUUCAGACGAUCAUGUAUCCCCUUGAUAUUCACUGGAUGGAAUCCCCUAUUUUACUCAGACUGAACCUUCUACAAACAUCAGAAAAGCAACAGUAAUAAAGAUGGACAGAAAUUCCAAAAAUAAGGUUAGUUCUUGUUUGUUCCGUAUCAUUCUCUUUACCGUUCCUUUUGGUACUAUACUCCAAAAAAGAGGCAAUCGGAAAUAUUUAGGUCCACUGAAAAGUAAUUCUGGAGCUCGCAGAGUUCUCAUUUUUCAGAUUUGUAGUAGUAUUCGCUUUUGGUUUACAUGAUAUUGGCUGUAUCUCCCUGACAACUGCUCUUUGGUUGGUGUAGGUGUUUUUUUAUGGAUGUACCUGGUUGCGAUGAAGCUAAACAAGAAAUAAUGCUAUCACUUAUUACCUUUGUCCUUCAAAUUUGAGUAUAGGCCUGCGAAAUAAUGAAUAUUUGUGUCUCAUUGCUCCAGCAUGGUCAAUAAAGAUAUGUUGACCCAGGAAAUGUGGGUUUAUCAUAGGUCCUACUGUAUACGUUGAUAUAUGAAAUAUGACAUUUACGGUUAUAUGCUAUCACUUAUUGCCUUUGUCCUUUGCAUUGAGUAUAGGCCUGUGAAAUAAUGGUGUAUUUGUGUGUUGAUUCGUCUGUUUUCCUUCAUGUUCUGGUUCUAAGGUACCAGCACAGACCCAGAGUUAUUUGCAAAAAAAUGCGUUCCAAUGUACCAAUAUUUUGUAUCCUUUCUAAUGCUUAAAAAAGAGGCGAAUAAUUAUUUUAUAAUAUGUAAUAUAUGACAUGUGUAACGCACCUUAAGAGACUACUAAGUUAUCCUGUAUAAUUGGCACGCCCUACUUUUGUAGUAAUAAAUAUAUCAGGUGCUGCUCCAUACAGGUGAUACAUUGCAUUUACCAUAGUAUUUGAUUACAUAUGAUAACAUAAAAUCUGUUUUUUCCUUAGCGGUUCGGCACAUUAGUGCAUAGAAACAGAGUACAGGCAAAUUGAUUAGAUGCAUUAGUUAAGAACACUGAUUUUUUUGGAAAGCUUCAUCAUGACAUCGAUAUUGGUUUCGCCUUACUACCACUCCGAGGUUGGAUGGAGCAUCGAGGAUUUCAGGCUUGGGGUGGCCACGUGUUGCAGGAUAGCAGGAAGAGUUGGAUGUGUUCUGCAGAGACGAGGUGAUCAAUGUCGUUGCCGCCAGGUAGCUGAAGUACAAAACUUCUAAAUUUGCUCAUUUAUUUAUCCUCAUAGUUGGUUCCCUUGAUACUUUUUCUUAGAAACAUGAUCAAAGAUACAAAAAGUUUUACUUCUGAAGCAGAAGUGGUAGUAUAGUGUGCAUGUCGUAUUGCAAGUAGAUUUUAUAGAUACCAAUAGAAAUAAUAACUUGGGAUUUAUUUCUGUUCAACCUCUGUGAUCUAGAUGAGCAAAGCAACAACUUUGGCUUUAUUUCUUUGUGAUGUAGAUGAGAAAAAUAGUACCUUGGAUUUUAAUUCUGUUCUCUAUGAUGUAGAUUAGCAAGAUUUCUAACCAACAAAGUAAUUUAUUUUAGUAUGGUUUUGUCACUAUGAUUGGUAAUAUGAAGUUUAUUUAUUCUAGGUUCCUAUCUUUAGACAGUCACAUCCACGUUCGUACUUUUAGAAUAGUUGUUGCAACGGGGAAGAGCAUUUUUGCAAUAGCAAGAUAUCAGGACCCAAUGGGCAUAGGCCGAACCAACCACCAUCACUAUUAUUUCAGGAUUAGAUAGCCAACUUCCACUCAUGAGGUGAGUUUGCUUACUCUACUUUCAGUGUACUGUGCAGAUAUGUUGGUUAGAAAUUUUGCUAUGUGCCUGUCAAGUUGAUUAGAUAUGAAAAAUAUGCUCUAUAAUACCCACAUAAUACUUGUUUAAAUUGGCUUUUCCCUGGUUCAUCAGUGCACACAUGAAACCGGUAAUAAGAAGAGAAUCACCUGAUUUUUUUAUAGUCUAUUUUAGUAAGCAUGUUCAUAAUAUUAGGAUAGUUUAAUUUGAGAACAAUUGGCUCGAGGAACGAUGUAAUUUGAUACUCUGUUAUGUUGAUCUCCAGAGAAAUUUGGUUUUUGGUUUUUCAUUGAUGUACGUUAAUCUGUUGUGAAUCUUGUUUGCUUGCACCAAUUAUAUGUGUAACAAUUAGAGGGGAAAUUUUGGAACUCAUACAUUCUAUUUCAGUUAAUGUUCAAAGCAACUUUCCUGUGUGAAUCUGAUAAUCUUACUAAAACCUGUGUUUCAUUGUGUAUAUUCAGCCUGUCGAGUCAAGUUUCAGACGAUCAUGUAUCCCCUUGAUAUUCACUGGAUGGAAUCCCCGGUUUUACUCAGACUGAACCUUCUACAAACAUCGGAAAAGCAACAGUAAUAAAGAUGGACAGAAAUUCCAAAAAUAAGGUUAGUUCUUCUUUGUUCCGUAUCAUUCUCUUUACCGUUCCUUUUGGUACUAUACUCCAAAAA
This 4383-nucleotide long non-coding RNA is filed under the name Triticum aestivum (bread wheat). RNAcentral describes it as "long non-coding RNA (TAES_LNC012417)". The record is from RNAcentral. Lineage: Eukaryota; Viridiplantae; Streptophyta; Magnoliopsida; Poales; Poaceae.